Molecule: long non-coding RNA, 568 nt
Filed under: Lathyrus oleraceus (garden pea)
Lineage: Eukaryota; Viridiplantae; Streptophyta; Magnoliopsida; Fabales; Fabaceae
Description: Pisum sativum (pea) long non-coding RNA (PSAT_LNC013020)
Source: RNAcentral
CCAACCUCGUCAUUCUUGCCUUGUUAUUUCUCUCAUAUUCCUUCUUGAUAUUGUUCAUAUGAAGUAGACAUUUAUGUUGCUUAAGAACAAGAAUCUACACACAGAAGAUUAAAAAAAAAAGAUAAGAGAGAAUAUGAGUAAAAACAAAAAUAAAAUAUUCACGAAAUCUUAAUGGCUAGAGAAAAAGGUAAGCAAUUCAAGAUAGUCAAAGUAUUCUGAAAGGAAAAGUUUCGCAAGAUGCAUAGUCUUCAAGACAGAUCGUAUGUUAUUCAAGAUUUCUUCUUACAAAAGAAGAUGUUUGCAUAACCAUUCAUAUCACAUUACUCUUCAGUUAAAAUGGGUAAGUCAAAGCAGUGUAAGGUUCAAAAGAGGAAUUUUGAGAAGGAGAUUAAGAAGUUGAUGAAGAAAAAAACAACGGAAGAGAAGCAGAAGUCUGAGGAAGCUUCAACGGUUCAGAAGUCCGAGGAAGUCUCAAAAGUAGUAUGCACAAUUGUUGGGUCCCAAAGUGGACAAAAUAGAGACAACAAUGAUAAAGCCUAAGAAGAAGGAGGAUCCAAUGGAAGAAGAG